GGCCUGAUGGUCUAGUAGUAUGAUUCUCCCUUCGGGCGCCGAGCCUGUCUCACGAGAGAUAUAACUGGGAGAGGUCCCGGGUUCAAUUCCCGGUCAGGCCC
Molecule: transfer RNA, 101 nt
Filed under: Marasmius sp. AFHP31
Lineage: Eukaryota; Fungi; Basidiomycota; Agaricomycetes; Agaricales; Marasmiaceae
Description: tRNA-Pro
Rfam family: tRNA
About the family: Transfer RNA (tRNA) molecules are approximately 80 nucleotides in length. Their secondary structure includes four short double-helical elements and three loops (D, anti-codon, and T loops). Further hydrogen bonds mediate the characteristic L-shaped molecular structure. tRNAs have two regions of fundamental functional importance: the anti-codon, which is responsible for specific mRNA codon recognition, and the 3' end, to which the tRNAs corresponding amino acid is attached (by aminoacyl-tRNA synthetases). tRNAs cope with the degeneracy of the genetic code in two manners: having more than one tRNA (with a specific anti-codon) for a particular amino acid; and 'wobble' base-pairing, i.e. permitting non-standard base-pairing at the 3rd anti-codon position.
Source: RNAcentral